This 446-nucleotide ribosomal RNA is filed under the name uncultured bacterium. RNAcentral describes it as "bacterial SSU rRNA". It matches the Rfam family "Bacterial small subunit ribosomal RNA", at positions 26 to 507 of the family's 1533-position model. The record is from RNAcentral.
UCCGUGGCUACAGAACGAACGCUGGCGGCAUGCCUAACACAUGCAAGUCGAACGAGACCUUCGGGUCUAGUGGCGCACGGGUGCGUAACACGUGGGAAUUUGUCUCGGGGUAUGGAAUAACUCAGAGAAACUUGAGCUAAUACCAUAUAAUGUCUUCGGACCAAAGAUUUAUCGCCCUGAGAUAAGCCCGCGUAGGAUUAGCUAGUUGGUGAGGUAAAGGCUCACCAAGGCGACGAUCCUUAGCUGGUCUGAGAGGAUGAUCAGCCACACUGGGACUGAGACACGGCCCAGACUCCUACGGGAGGCAGCAGUGGGGAAUAUUGGACAAUGGGCGAAAGCCUGAUCCAGCAAUGCCGCGUGAGUGAUGAAGGCCUUCGGGUUGUAAAGCUCUUUUACUCGGGACGAUAAUGACGGUACCGAGAGAAUAAGCCCCGGCUAACUCCGUG